UCACCGCUUGCGCGGGCAGUCUUAUUAGAGUCCCCGGCAUUACCCGCUGGCAACUAAUAAUAGGGGUUGCGCUCGUUACAGGACUUAACCUAACACCUCACGGCACGAGCUGACGACAGCCAUGCAGCACCUAGUUUCGUGCAAUUGCUUGCUGUCAUAUUUCUACGACAUUCACUAACUUUCAAGCCCUGGUAAGGUUCCUCGCGUAUCAUCGAAUUAAACCACAUGCUCCUCCGCUUGUGCGGGCCCCCGUCAAUUCCUUUGAGUUUCAACCUUGCGGUCGUACUCCCCAGGUGGAUAACUUAAUGCUUUCGCUUGGACGCUGACAGUGUAUCGCCAACAUCGAGUUAUCAUCGUUUAGGGCGUGGACUAC
This 373-nucleotide unclassified non-coding RNA is filed under the name uncultured Sphingobacteriales bacterium. RNAcentral describes it as "contains 16S-23S intergenic spacer region". The record is from RNAcentral. Lineage: Bacteria; Pseudomonadati; Bacteroidota; Sphingobacteriia; Sphingobacteriales.